This is a long non-coding RNA of Varroa destructor (honeybee mite), 1164 nucleotides long. NCBI's taxonomy places the organism in Eukaryota, Metazoa, Arthropoda, Arachnida, Mesostigmata, Varroidae. The record is from RefSeq and is a predicted model, not a curated record.
UGAGACUUGGUGUGGAGAUAACAAUGGAUCUGCUAUCAAUGUCUUGAAGAAACGAAGUAUUACCUCGUUUAUUUGUUCGCUAAAAUGAAGCCAAGAUGUGUAUCAAAAUUCUGAUAACUUAAACACUUCAAUUAAUCUAAUUAAAGAUCACUGAUUUCUCCAGUUGUGCCACAAUAUCGGGCUUAAGACUUAUGAGUUCUUGCCGUUCCUGGGUCAACGUCGUCAUGUAAUUCAGUAGUUUCUGGGUUAGCCCGAUCGGUAACAACUAGACCUAUAUCGACCGUAUUAUCUUACUGAAAAAAAUAAUCCUCCACGCGAUUACCUUAGAGCGGUAGUCCUGACCUCUUCGCAUGAAAAGUCUUUUUUCACUAAAAUAAGCACGCUCCACCGCGCGAGAACCUGUUUUAAACCCCUAUAAACUACUUACAUCGCAAAGUUUGCACCAUUAACAGAAAGCCAUAACCCCGUAAUGAAUGAUCUAAUACACGAUUGAGUGGUUUCGCUGGCACCUCGAUUCUGUCGUCGCUUCAUCUUGCGGCCAAUCGCGUGUCGACUGCGACUUUCUAAACAGCUUCUAUGCAAAGUUCCAUUGACAUAGGGUUUCAUGCCAUUCUAUUAACCUACCAUGAGUUUCUGUAAGCCCUUCCAUUAAUAUCUGCGUUCUUUCGUUUUCUUACUAAAGUUUUUUUCAUUUGCUUUCUAAGCUUUCUUUCUUCAAACAAAAGUUUUUAUUUAAAUCAAAUAAAUUACAAAAAUACAUUAUAAAGAGAAGCUUACAAACUCACAGCACAGGAAUUUCGCGGCAUUUCUUGGGUGUUUCCGGAAAGCUGCGCUGUCAGACAAUAGUAAUUUUUCUUAAUUAGACUCACUGUUGAGAUUUUAAGGCUUGCUUGAGCUAUUACCUUUGAUCCUUAAUUUACUCACGCAAUAACAUAAUAACUAUAAGUUCAAGUUAAAAAAGCACCUGUAAUUUCUUAAACUUAAGCCUAUAGCUGCCCCUGACCUGUAUAUGCAUACAUAUUUCACCAAAAUCAAGAAGCUCUACAUCAGCGAAAAGUCGAGAAAGCUCUUGACUUUUAUCUUGGAACCCUGUUACGUUGCCUGAAAGUUUUCUUGUAAUAUCCAUCUGGCUGUCCUGCAUCAAUCUUGCUAAAAAGCUGAGAA